CUUGACGGUACUUAAUGAAUAAGCCCCGGCUAAUUAUGUGCCAGCAGCCGCGGUAAUACAUAAGGGGCGAGCGUUAUCCGGAAUUAUUGGGCGUAAAGGGUGCGUAGGCGGUUUAAUAAGUCUAUAGUUUAAUUUCAGUGCUUAACGCUGUUGUGCUAUAGAAACUGUUUUACUAGAGUGAGUUAGAGGCAAGCGGAAUUCCAUGUGUAGCGGUAAAAUGCGUAAAUAUAUGGAGGAACACCAGAGGCGUAGGCGGCUUGCUGGGACUUUACUGACGCUGAGGCACGAAAGCGUGGGGAGCAAACAGGAUUAGAUACCCUGGUAGUCCACACCGUAAACGAUGAGUACUAAGUGUCGGGUAAAACCGGUACUGAAGUUAACACAUUAAGUACUCCGCCUGAGUAGUACGUACGCAAGUAUGAAACUUAAAGGAAUUGACGGGACUCCGCACAAGCGGUGGAUCAUGUUGUUUAAUUCGAAGAUACACGAAAAACCUUACCAGGUCUUGACAUUUUCUUGCGAAGUUAUAGAAAUAUAAUGGAGGUUAUCAGGAAAACAGGUGGUGCAUGGUUGUCGUCAGCUCGUGUCGUGAGAUGUUAGGUUAAGUCCUAAAACGAGCGCAACCCUUGUCGUUAAUUGCCAGCAUGUAAUGAUGGGGACUUUAACGAGACUGCCAAUGAAAAAUUGGAGGAAGGUGGGGAUUACGUCAAAUCAUCAUGCCCCUUAUGAUCUGGGCUACAAACGUGAUACAAUGGUUGAUACAAAGA
This 767-nucleotide ribosomal RNA is filed under the name Cassava frogskin disease phytoplasma. RNAcentral's name for it is "bacterial SSU rRNA". It matches the Rfam family "Bacterial small subunit ribosomal RNA", at positions 468 to 1245 of the family's 1533-position model. The record is from RNAcentral. Lineage: Bacteria; Bacillati; Mycoplasmatota; Mollicutes; Acholeplasmatales; Acholeplasmataceae.